ACACUGCACAAACUCCCUUAAGACUUCACUUCUUUCUUUUAUGAUUCUUCACUUGAAACAAUUUCUCACCUUCCUUUUGCUUCUUGAGGGCUUUCUUUAUUUUGGGUCUGUUUGUUUUUGUGUUUCUUUCAGUUCCUCUCCUCAUUUUUUCUUUCCUUUCGACGAAAAAAUUUCAUCUUUGAAUGCUCUUUGAGAGAGGGUAUUGCAAUAAAGAAUGGUGAAAACGGUCAACUCUCCAUCUUCUUCUCCGGUGACCAUAACGGUCUCAUCAGGUGGCAAAGGAGGAGGAAGUCGAAGCAUGGGAUUAACAAGUCCAGUACCAAGAGCUUCAAUAUCAAACAACCCAAAUUCCCCUCUCAGCAACAGCAAGAACCGGAUCUCAAGCGGAGGCAGAUACUCUUCAAUGUCUAAAGAUGAUACCACGGAGGAGAUCAACUCAGAAUUUGUCACAUAUACAGUUCAUAUCCCUCCUACUCCAGACCACCAGCCAAUGUCAGUCUCACAGAACAGCCUCUCUGAACAUAUCAACAACGCUGGCAAGCCUGAGAAGAGUUUCAUUUCGGGUACUAUCUUCACUGGUGGUUUCAAUUCAGUGACGCGUGGUCAUGUCAUUGACUGCUCAAUGGAAGUAACCAAGUCACUGAAAUCAGGGCUUGUUUGUGGGAUGAAGGGUUGUGAUGAUAAAGCAAUUCAAGGAAAAUGCGAGUGUGGAUUCAAGAUUUGUAGAGAUUGUUAUUUAGAUUGUGUGGGGUCUAAUGGAGUGGGCCAUUGUCCUGGUUGCAAAGAACCAUAUUUGGAUGUUGAUGAAAAGGAUUUUGGUGAAGAUGAUGAAGCUAAAAGCGAAGAAGAAGACCAGGCAUUGCCGUUGCCUAGGUUGGAUAAGAGGCUUUCCCUUGUAAAGUCAUUCAAGGCAAUGAAUCAUCCCCCUGAUUUUGAUCACACGCGAUGGUUGUUUGAGACAAAGGGAACUUAUGGGUAUGGGAAUGCGGUAUGGCCUAAAGAUGGUUAUGGAGCUGGGUCAGGGGCAAAUGGAUUUGAACAUCCUCCAGAUUUUGGAGAGAGAAGUAGGAGGCCUUUGACUAGGAAGGUUGGGGUUUCCGCUGCAAUUCUUAGCCCAUACAGACUACUAAUUGCAAUACGAUUGGCCGCCCUCGGUAUGUUUCUUACAUGGAGAAUCCGACAUCCUAAUCGCGAAGCAAUGUGGUUGUGGGGGAUGUCCAUAACUUGUGAGACCUGGUUUGCCAUUUCGUGGCUUCUUGAUCAGCUUCCUAAGCUCUGCCCUGUAAAUAGGGUGAUUGACCUUUCUGUGCUGAAAGAUCGCUUCGAAUCCCCCAAUCUUCGAAACCCAAAAGGCCGAUCAGACCUUCCGGGCAUUGAUGUGUUUGUUUCAACAGCAGAUCCUGAGAAAGAACCCCCUCUGGUCACAGCAAACACCAUUCUUUCAAUCCUUGCAGUUGAUUAUCCGGUGGAAAAGCUCGCUUGCUACUUAUCGGAUGAUGGUGGAUCUCUUUUGACUUUUGAAGCUCUAGCUGAGACUGCUAGCUUUGCCAGAAUUUGGGUUCCUUUCUGCAGAAAACACAAUAUAGAACCAAGGAACCCUGAGGCUUAUUUCGGGCAGAAGCGUGAUUUCCUUAAGAACAAAGUGAGGCUUGACUUUGUUAGGGAAAGGAGAAGAGUGAAGAGAGAAUAUGAUGAAUUUAAGGUGAGGAUUAAUUCGUUGCCUGAAUCAAUAAGGAGAAGAUCAGAUGCUUACAACGCCCAUGAAGAGCUUCGAGCGAAGAAGAAACAGAUGGAAAUGGGUGGCAAUCCAUCAGAACCUAUUAAGGUACCAAAGGCUACUUGGAUGUCAGAUGGUUCCCAUUGGCCUGGGACUUGGGCUUCAGGAGAGACCGACCACUCAAGGGGGGACCAUGCUGGUAUAAUUCAGGCAAUGUUAGCCCCACCAAAUGCAGAACCUGUUUUGGGGGCAGAAGCAGAUGGGGAGAAUUUGAUCGACACAACAGAAGUUGACAUCAGAUUGCCAACGCUGGUCUACGUGUCUCGUGAGAAGAGGCCAGGUUAUGAUCACAACAAGAAAGCUGGAGCUAUGAAUGCUCUAGUUAGAACUAGUGCAAUCAUGUCAAAUGGUCCGUUCAUUUUAAAUCUCGACUGUGAUCACUAUAUUUAUAACUCUCUGGCUUUGAGGGAGGGAAUGUGCUUUAUGCUUGAUAGAGGUGGUGACAGGAUCUGUUAUGUUCAAUUUCCACAAAGGUUUGAGGGGAUUGAUCCGAGUGAUCGCUAUGCUAACCACAACACGGUGUUCUUUGAUGUGAGCAUGAGAGCUCUUGAUGGGUUGCAGGGUCCAAUGUAUGUAGGAACGGGCUGCAUUUUCCGCAGAACGGCUCUUUAUGGGUUCGGUCCUCCUAGAACCACAGAACACCAUGGAUGGUUUGGCAGAAAGAAAAUCAAGUUGUUUUUGAGGAAACCCAAGACGACAAAGAAGGAUGAGAUGGAAUUUUCAAUCAACGGGGACCACAAUGAUGAUGAUGCAGAUAUUGAGUCUUUGCUUCUACCAAAAAGGUUUGGAAACUCCACUUCUCUGGCUGCGUCUAUCCCCAUUGCAGAGUACCAGGGAAGGUUGCUUCAAGAUGUGCAAGGAAAGGGCAAUCAAGGAAGACCAGCAGGUUCCCUUGCUGUUCCUAGGGAGCCUUUGGAUGCUGCAACUGUUGCAGAGGCAAUUAGUGUUAUCUCUUGCUUCUAUGAGGACAAAACUGAGUGGGGCAAAAGGGUGGGAUGGAUCUAUGGUUCUGUGACAGAAGAUGUGGUGACUGGUUAUCGAAUGCACAAUCGAGGAUGGAGGUCUGUCUAUUGUGUAACCAAAAAGGAUGCAUUUCGUGGGACAGCUCCAAUUAAUCUAACAGACAGGCUUCACCAAGUCCUUCGAUGGGCAACUGGCUCAGUUGAAAUAUUUUUCUCAAGGAACAAUGCUCUAUUUGCUAGUCCCCGGAUGAAAUUCUUACAGAGGGUGGCAUAUUUCAACGUGGGAAUGUACCCUUUUACCUCUAUGUUUCUCAUAGUAUAUUGUGUUCUACCUGCGGUAUCUCUAUUUUCUGGUCAAUUCAUUGUCCAAUCUCUCAGCGUGACCUUCCUAGUGUUCUUGUUGGCCAUCACAAUUACCCUAUGCUUGCUUGCACUCCUGGAAAUCAAGUGGUCAGGAAUCACUCUCCAUGAUUGGUGGCGAAAUGAACAGUUUUGGUUGAUUGGGGGAACAAGUGCCCAUCCUGCAGCAGUAUUGCAAGGACUGCUGAAAGUUAUAGCAGGAGUUGACAUCUCAUUCACAUUGACGUCUAAAUCUGCCACACCUGAUGAGGGAGAUGAUGAGUUUGCUGAGCUAUAUGUGGUAAAAUGGAGCUUCUUAAUGGUACCUCCAAUCACAAUAAUGAUGUUGAACCUGAUUGCAAUUGCAGUAGGAGUAGCAAGGACCAUGUAUAGUACUUAUCCACAAUGGAGCAAGCUUCUUGGAGGAGUGUUCUUCAGCUUCUGGGUAUUGUCCCAUCUAUACCCAUUUGCAAAAGGCUUAAUGGGAAGAAGGGGGAAGGUCCCAACCAUUGUCUAUGUCUGGUCCGGAUUGCUCUCCAUCAUCAUUUCUCUGCUAUGGGUGUACAUUAGUCCUCCUUCUGGAAGGGAAGAAGACUACAUGAAGUUUCACUUCCCUUGAUAUUUGAAGUUUCACCUCCUGGUUAUAUUAUAUAUGUAGGCAUGUGGGCUAUAUGUAACAGCAGCAGACAAAAUGUGAAGUUUCUCAACUUCAUCUUUGUAGUUUUACUUUACUCUGUAAUUGAUUUGAAUUCUGCUCCUUCAUUCUCACCUUCUGCUGGAACUUGGAAAAUUGUUACCAUUCAUUGGUCGUCUAAGUUAUAUAAUCUGACUCUACAGCUGCAAGUUUUUCAUGUUGUUGUGAGAAAUAAGUAUCAAAUGCAUUGUUUA
This 3966-nucleotide unclassified non-coding RNA is filed under the name Hevea brasiliensis (rubber tree). Lineage: Eukaryota; Viridiplantae; Streptophyta; Magnoliopsida; Malpighiales; Euphorbiaceae. The record is from RNAcentral.